This 292-nucleotide ribosomal RNA is filed under the name uncultured bacterium. RNAcentral describes it as "partial 16S ribosomal RNA". It matches the Rfam family "Bacterial small subunit ribosomal RNA", at positions 505 to 796 of the family's 1533-position model. The record is from RNAcentral.
GUGACAGCCGCCGCGGUAAUACGUAGGGGGCAAGCGUUGUCCGGAAUCAUUGGGCGUAAAGCGCGUGUAGGCGGCUUGGUAAGUCCGGUGUGAAAACUUGGGGCUCAACCCCAAGCGUGCACCGGAUACUGCCUCGCUCGAGUCCGGGAGAGGGAAGCGGAACUCCUAGUGUAGCGGUGAAGUGCGCAGAUAUUAGGAAGAACACCGGUGGCGAAGGCGGCUUCCUGGAACGGUACUGACGCUGAGACGCGAAAGCGUGGGGAGCAAACAGGAUUAGAAACCCUGGUAGUCC